GAACCUAUUGGUAUCCUGAGUACGGCGGGGCACGUGGAACCUUGUCGGAAUCUGCCGGGACCAUCCGGUAAGCCUAAAUACUCCUUAAUGACCGAUAGUGAACCAGUACAGUGAUGGAAAGGUGAAAAGAACCGCUGGCGCGGAGUGAAAUAGAACCUGAAACCGUAUGCUUACAAAAAGUCAGAGCACAUUUAUGUGUGAUGGCGUGCCUAUUGAAGAAUGAACCGGCGAGUUACGAUGUUGUGCGAGGUUAAAUCGAAAAGAUGGAGCCGAAGCGAAAGCGAGUCUUAAUAGGGCGAAUUAGUUCAAUGUCGUAGACCCGAAGCCGUUGUGAUCUUGCCAUGGCCAGGUUGAAGGUUGGGUGAUACCAACUGGAGGACCGCACCGACCCCCGUUGAAACGUUGGCGGAUGAGCUGUGGCAAGCGGAGAAAUUCCAAACGAACACGGCGAUAGCUGGUUCUCCCCGAAAUAGCUUUAGGGCUAGCGUUGUACGAAUCUCUGUGGAGGUAGAGCACUGAAAUCGUGAUGGCCACAUCCCGUGGUACUGAUCGGUAUCAAACUCCGAAUGCCAUAGAUGAAUAUACAGCAGUCAGACUGUGGGUGAUAAGGUCCAUGGUCAAAAGGGAAACAGCCCAGAUCAUCAGUUAAGGUCCCUAAAUUUAUGCUAAGUGGAAAACGAGGUGGAAUUGCGUGAACAGCUAGGAGGUUAGCUCAGAAGCAGCUAUCCUUCAAAGAGUGCGUAACAGCUCACUAGUCGAGUGAUUCUGCGCGGAAAAUUUACCGGGGCUAAGCAUAAUACCGAAACUAUGGCAAUACAUUUGUAUUGGGUAGGGGAGCGUUCUGAUCAGCGUUGAAGGUAUACCGUAAGGAGUGCUGGAGCGUUCAGAAGUGAGAAUGCCGGUGUAAGUAGCGAGAAAUAUGUGAGAAUCAUAUUCACCGAUUGACCAAGGUUUCCAGGGGAAGGUUCGUCCGCCCUGGGUAAGUCGGGACCUAAGAUGAGGCCGACAGGCGUAGUCGAUGGACAACAGGUUGAUAUUCCUGUACCUGCUAUAUUAGUGAUGGAGUGACAGAUGAGGUUAUUAUGAGCCGGUUAUUGGAUUCCGGUUCAAGCUUAGGAGCUGUCAGGUAGGCAAAUCCGCCUGAUAAAGCAAAGAAGCGAUAACGAGCGAACGAGUGAUCUAGUAGUGAAGUCAUAUAUGCCUUGUCUCAAGAAAAGCUUCUAAACUUAUAAUAUGGUAGCCCGUACCAAAACCGACACAGGUGGUCAAGGCGAGUAGCCUAAGGUGAGCGAGAGAAUUGUUGCCAAGGAACUCUGCAAAAUUGUCCCGUACGUUCGCAAGAAGGGACGCUCGAAAGAGCCACAGCAAAGAGGCCCAAGCGACUGUUUAUCUAAAACACAGCUCUCUGCUAAGUCGAAAGACGAUGUAUAGGGGGUGACUCCUGCCCGGUGCUGGAAGGUCAAGGGGAUUUGUUAGGCGCAAGCCGAAGCUUUGAACCGAAGCCCCAGUGAACGGCGGCCGUAACUAUAACGGUCCUAAGGUAGCGAAAUUCCUUGUCAGGUAAGUUCUGACCC
RNAcentral lists this ribosomal RNA (1574 nucleotides) under gut metagenome. RNAcentral describes it as "bacterial LSU rRNA". It matches the Rfam family "Bacterial large subunit ribosomal RNA", at positions 393 to 1989 of the family's 2925-position model. The record is from RNAcentral.